ACCUAGCUAGCUCAAUUGGCAGAGCGUGAGACUCUUAUUCUCAAAGUUGCGGGUUUGACCCCCGCCUUAGGCU
Molecule: non-coding RNA, 73 nt
Organism: Massospora cicadina
Lineage: Eukaryota; Fungi; Entomophthoromycota; Entomophthoromycetes; Entomophthorales; Entomophthoraceae
Source: the annotation of a GenBank genome assembly